RNAcentral lists this non-coding RNA (155 nucleotides) under Rhodospirillaceae bacterium. Its description in RNAcentral is "6S RNA". It matches the Rfam family "6S / SsrS RNA". From Rfam's summary of the family: E. coli 6S RNA was the first non coding RNA to be sequenced, but its function was unknown until recently. It consists of 184 nucleotides that fold into an extended hairpin structure with a large single-stranded internal bulge. The record is from RNAcentral. Lineage: Bacteria; Pseudomonadati; Pseudomonadota; Alphaproteobacteria; Rhodospirillales; Rhodospirillaceae.
GUGUGGCUGCGUGACACGCGAGAGGUAUUAAUCUCCGGGGCCUAACAACACCUAACGGGAGCCGUCUCUGUCGGAAUCUUGGUUUCGUUAUAUGGCGCCCACCUGCGAAAGCGGGCCUAGGUGGAUUGUAAAUCGGACGUUCUUGUGGCUACGCC